GUCGAGCGAACAGACGAGGAGCUUGCUCCUCUGACGUUAGCGGCGGACGGGUGAGUAACACGUGGGUAACCUACCUAUAAGACUGGGAUAACUCCGGGAAACCGGGGCUAAUACCGGAUAACACAUGAAACCGCAUGGUUUCAUGAUGAAAGACGGUUUUGCUGUCACUUAUAGAUGGACCCGCGGCGUAUUAGCUAGUUGGUAAGGUAACGGCUUACCAAGGCAACGAUACGUAGCCGACCUGAGAGGGUGAUCGGCCACACUGGAACUGAGACACGGUCCAGACUCCUACGGGAGGCAGCAGUAGGGAAUCUUCCGCAAUGGGCGAAAGCCUGACGGAGCAACGCCGCGUGAGUGAUGAAGGUCUUCGGAUCGUAAAACUCUGUUAUUAGGGAAGAACAAGGAUGUAAGUAACUGUGCAUCCCUUGACGGUACCUAAUCAGAAAGCCACGGCUAACUACGUGCCAGCAGCCGCGGUAAUACGUAGGUGGCAAGCGUUAUCCGGAAUUAUUGGGCGUAAAGCGCGCGUAGGCGGUUUUUUAAGUCUGAUGUGAAAGCCCACGGCUCAACCGUGGAGGGUCAUUGGAAACUGGAAAACUUGAGUGCAGAAGAGGAAAGUGGAAUUCCAUGUGUAGCGGUGAAAUGCGCAGAGAUAUGGAGGAACACCAGUGGCGAAGGCGACUUUCUGGUCUGCAACUGACGCUGAUGUGCGA
RNAcentral lists this ribosomal RNA (713 nucleotides) under uncultured Staphylococcus sp. Its description in RNAcentral is "bacterial SSU rRNA". It matches the Rfam family "Bacterial small subunit ribosomal RNA", at positions 61 to 756 of the family's 1533-position model. Lineage: Bacteria; Bacillati; Bacillota; Bacilli; Caryophanales; Staphylococcaceae. The record is from RNAcentral.